This 548-nucleotide ribosomal RNA is filed under the name uncultured Glomeromycotina. RNAcentral describes it as "SSU rRNA". It matches the Rfam family "Eukaryotic small subunit ribosomal RNA", at positions 548 to 1098 of the family's 1831-position model. Lineage: Eukaryota; Fungi; Glomeromycota. The record is from RNAcentral.
UUGGAGGGCAAGUCUGGUGCCAGCAGCCGCGGUAAUUCCAGCUCCAAUAGCGUAUAUUAAAGUUGUUGCAGUUAAAAAGCUCGUAGUUGAAUUUCGGGGUUAGCAGGUCGGUCGUGCCAAUGGUAUGCACUGGCUCGCUGACUCCUCCUUCUUGUAGAACCGUAAUGCCAUUAAUUUGGUGUUGCGGGGAAACAGGACUGUUACUUUGAAAAAAUUAGAGUGUUUAAAGCAGGCUAGCGCCUGAAUACAUUAGCAUGGAAUAAUGAAAUAGGACGUUCGAACCUAUUUUGUUGGUUUCUAGGAUUGACGUAAUGAUUAAUAGGGAUAGUUGGGGGCAUUAGUAUUCAAUUGUCAGAGGUGAAAUUCUUGGAUUUAUUGAAGACUGACUACUGCGAAAGCAUUUGCCAAGGAUGUUUUCAUUAAUCAAGAACGAAAGUUAGGGGAUCGAAGACGAUCAGAUACCGUCGUAGUCUUAACCAUAAACUAUGCCGACUAGGGAUCGGAUGAUGUUAAUUUUUUAAUGACUCAUUCGGGGCCUUACGGGAAAC